This 452-nucleotide ribosomal RNA is filed under the name uncultured Bacteroidota bacterium. Its description in RNAcentral is "bacterial SSU rRNA". It matches the Rfam family "Bacterial small subunit ribosomal RNA", at positions 1069 to 1533 of the family's 1533-position model. Lineage: Bacteria; Pseudomonadati; Bacteroidota. The record is from RNAcentral.
GAGGUGUGGGUAGUCCAUAACGAGCGCACCCUAUCCUUAGUUGCCAGCGAGUAUGUCGGGGACUCUAGGGAAACUGCCGGUGCAAACCGUGAGGAAGGUGGGGAUGACGUCAAAUCAUCACGGCCCUUACGUCCAGGGUCUACACACGUGCUACAAUGGCGCAUACAAAGGGCAGCUACAUGGCAACAUGAUGCUAAUCUCUAAAGUGCGUCUCAGUUCGGAUCGAAGUCUGCAACUCGACUUCGUGAAGCUGGAAUCGCUAGUAAUCGCGUAUCAGCAAUGACGCGGUGAAUACGUUCCCGGGCCUUGUACACACCGCCCGUCAAGCCAUGGAAGUUGGGAGUGCCUGAAGUCGGUGACCGCAAGGAGCUGCCUAAGGUAAAACUAGUAACUAGGGCUAAGUCGUAACAAGGUAGCCGUACCGGAAGGUGCGGCUGGAACACCUCCUUUUU